RNAcentral lists this ribosomal RNA (30 nucleotides) under Aspergillus terreus. RNAcentral's name for it is "partial 28S ribosomal RNA". The record is from RNAcentral. Lineage: Eukaryota; Fungi; Ascomycota; Eurotiomycetes; Eurotiales; Aspergillaceae.
GGUGACCUCGAUCAUGUAGAGCCGGGCUGU